RNAcentral lists this long non-coding RNA (777 nucleotides) under Manihot esculenta (cassava). RNAcentral describes it as "long non-coding RNA (MESC_LNC000543)". Lineage: Eukaryota; Viridiplantae; Streptophyta; Magnoliopsida; Malpighiales; Euphorbiaceae. The record is from RNAcentral.
UGCCAUACAGCCCUAACGUUAUUACGUCAUCAUUCCCUCAUUUUUUACAUCUAAGAAGCAGCAGCAGCACCUGGAGUUUUCUUCAUUCUCUUGGCGGUUGGAGACUUGAUUGACUUUGGCUGUUUAGGCUUCGCAGGAGUUGAUUUCUUUGUCUUCUUUGUUCCCACUCUCUUAGCUGCAGGCUUUGCAGCUUCACUUUUGUUCACAGACCUUGUCUUUCUCGUGGUGGUCGUGGUCGUGGUCGUGGUAGUGUUUCUUGCUUUUUUGGUUUCUUUAGCUUCCUUAUCUGCUUUACCUUUAGCCUUUGGGACCUUUCCGGUGCCUUUCUCUUUCUUGCCUGCUUCUGAUAGCUUGUAAGAGCCUUUGAUCUUUAUAAGUUUUCCUCUGGAGGUCGAGUUCUUCAAUUGUAAAGCUAAGAUUUUCUUAAAAUUUGCAGGUAGCACCGCCUUGUGCUUCUCUUCCAUGUACUUGGCUAUGGCGUAUGGACUUGAUCCGCCAGUCUUCUCGUCCAAUGCCAACAGAGCUUCCUUGAUCAUCUGAGUAUCCCACAAAAUUAAAAAAGAUUUAAAGCACUACAACUACGUACAAUAAAUUAAUCAAAACAUAUAACACACCUGAAAAUAUGGAGGAUGUGAAGCGGUUUUGGGCUGUUUAGGCUUUUUCUCCUUGCGAGCUCUUGGCUUCUUCUCCUUCACUGGCUUUUCAGUCGGCUUGACCUCCUCCUCCUCUACGGCAGGCGCCUGCUCGACGGCAGGAGCUACCACUUCUGCUUCUUUC